UCAGAUUUCGACAUGGAUAUGUCGGAUGAGAUCCUCAUCACUGACAUCAUUGACCAGCUCAACCAUAAAGUGGCAUUUAUCACAGGUGGAAAGACGCAGGAAGGUUAUCCAAUCAUCAAUAUGCCGGAGUGUCCCAAGUUCAACCUGGUCCGAGAUGAAGAAUUUGUCAGGCUCAUGACGUAUCUUGUCAGGAUACCCAGGUAUAUAUAUAUUUAUAAUUUGUAAUGUUAUAUCUCUCUGUGCUUUGAUAGGACUUAUAUAUCACUUCCAUUAUGAAGUUCAUUCUAUCACCAUGUUUUAAUUAAUCCCCACCUCAAAUUGACUAGCCAAAAAAGGAAACCUAAGUAGAAAAACAAAUUUUUUAAAAAACAAAUCUUACUCCGCACAACAUCAAGAAUGUGAUUUUAUAAAUGAUGCACCCAUAAAUAAACUGUCCAAAAUGUUGCACUUGUAUUUUGCUAAUCAGCAUUUUAACAACUGGGGGAAAUGUCAACAAUCUUACUCAAUACAAUUAACAUCAAGAAUGGGAUUUUUUUAAUGAUUCACCCAUAAAUAUACUGUCAAAAAUGUUACACUUGUAUUUUGCCCAUCAACAUUUAACAACUAGGGGGAAAUGUCAACGGCACGCUGUUACUCUUCUGCCGAGCCCAGGUUUCAUUCUCCUUUAAUGUGAGAAUGUCACCCCUGUGGCUGUUCACUCCUUCAUUCUCCAUUCACCACCAUGGGGGUGAGCAGGAUGUGUUUCUCUAUGCUAGUAUAGGGAGCUCAGGCAUUCACUCAAUUUCCUCAAUCAAGGGGGCCAUUCAGACUUGACAAAGCUUAUGUAUACUUCAGGCCACUUUUUCCCCCUUUUUCUAAGGCUAUUUUCACAGCUGAUUCCCUAAAUCUGCAACAUUGGAUCUACUUUUAACAUUACAGUGAAUGAAGAAUUCUGGGGCUCUAUUGACCACCCAGAGCCCUCCGUGUAGCUUUUUUUUCAAUGAGCAACAUACUAGGCCUUGAAAAUACAUAAAUUAUAAAAUAUAAAUAGAAACAUGUAUAUCUAUAUGCAUAAAAAAAAUGGAAUUUGAGUGGCUUCCAGAGGAGGUGAGGGGAAAUGAUUCAAAUAAAAACAUUACAAAUGAAAGAAAAAGAUGCAAAUGUG
Long non-coding RNA from Lytechinus pictus (painted urchin), 1144 nucleotides. RefSeq lists it as uncharacterized. Lineage: Eukaryota; Metazoa; Echinodermata; Echinoidea; Temnopleuroida; Toxopneustidae. The record is from RefSeq and is a predicted model, not a curated record. The transcript has 3 exons.